Molecule: ribosomal RNA, 119 nt
Filed under: Pteropus alecto (black flying fox)
Lineage: Eukaryota; Metazoa; Chordata; Mammalia; Chiroptera; Pteropodidae
Source: RNAcentral
AAAUUGAGCCAUUCUACUCUGAACAAGCCCGAUCCCUUCUGAUCUUGGAAGCUAAGCAGGGUCAGGCCUCGUUAGUACUUGGAUGGGAAACCACCUAGGAAGACCAGGUGCUGUAGGCA